Molecule: ribosomal RNA, 431 nt
Filed under: uncultured bacterium
Lineage: Bacteria
Description: bacterial SSU rRNA
Rfam family: Bacterial small subunit ribosomal RNA
Source: RNAcentral
GCUAAACGCGAAGAACCUUACCUACCUUUGAAUCCACGGAACCUAGCAGAGAUGUUGGGGUGCCUUCGGGAACCGUGAGACAGGUGCUGCAUGGCUGUCGUCAGCUCGUGUCGUGAGAUGUUGGGUUAAGUCCCGCAACGAGCGCAACCCUUGUCAUUAGUUGCUACGAAAGGGCACUCUAAUGAGACUGCCGGUGACAAACCGGAGGAAGGUGGGGAUGACGUCAAGUCCUCAUGGCCCUUAUAGGUGGGGCUACACACGUCAUACAAUGGCCGGUACAAAGGGCAGCCAACCCGCGAGGGGGAGCUAAUCCCAUAAAGCCGGUCGUAGUCCGGAUCGCAGUCUGCAACUCGACUGCGUGAAGUCGGAAUCGCUAGUAAUCGUGGAUCAGAAUGUCACGGUGAAUACGUUCCCGGGUCUUGUACACACCG